This 1001-nucleotide long non-coding RNA is filed under the name Mytilus galloprovincialis (Mediterranean mussel). Lineage: Eukaryota; Metazoa; Mollusca; Bivalvia; Mytilida; Mytilidae. The record is from RNAcentral.
GUCGCUUUGACAUAUUCACCAUUUCCUUUCUCAAUUUUAUUUAUAUUACACAUCUUUUGGUGGUUCAGGAAAAUGAAAAAAAAUUGUGGAGAACUGUUAGAAAAAAUAUGAUACUGCUGAAAACUUAUGUUAUCCCUUAUUGAAAAAUCGGCCUUUUUGCGAACUGUUCUGCCGCAAACACUGCGGUAAGGUUACUGCAAAUAGUUUGCCGCAACAACACUUCGACUUUUUACCAUGCAAAUGAAGGUUGCAGCAGACUUGCUGCAAAGUUUUAUAGCCUUAUAUAGUUUGUGGUGAACUUCUGGCGACUAUUUGUGGUGAAUCUCUGGCAAACUUUGAUAGCCUUAUAUAGUUUGUGGCGAACUUCUGGCAAUUUUUGGGGUGAACUUCUGACAAACUUCCAAAGCCUUAUAUAGUUUGCAGUGAACUACCGGCAAAUCAAGUGACUAUGGUAAUUUUUGUACUAAUAAUAGCAAAUUUACAUGCAAAAACUGCCUAAAUUAACUUCCAAAGAGAUGAUCAAUGAUGCAUGGCCUGUUUCAAGAACUAAUUGAAUCAUAUAUAACUCAGACGUAUUUCAUAUAUAACAUCCAUUUAUUUUUAAUAUGAAAACACGAACAUUAAACUAACUUCCCUCCUGUUAUCAAAGAAACAGGAAGUCUGAAUUUAGUACUUGGAGCAUGCUCAGUAUGCUAUAAAGUUUGUGUAGAAGUUCCAGCAAACUUAAGGACUGCUUUAAAGUUUGUUUACAAAGUUCCUUUAAAUUUAAGAACGUUAAGAGUUUGUGACAACCUUGCGGCAACUUUUAACAUAUGUUUGUGGACAGUUUGCUGCUAGCGGCAAACACGGGUGAACAACUUUCAGGUCUUCUGGCGAACUAAAAAGAUUGCUGCAACCUUACCGCAAGGUAACAUGCAGCAAUGUUUCUCUUUUCAUAAGGGAUGUAGAGGUUUUGAGUUUCUCUAAAUUUGAGUUGAAAGAAAUUGAUUUGUUAUAUAUAU